This 253-nucleotide ribosomal RNA is filed under the name uncultured bacterium. Its description in RNAcentral is "partial 16S ribosomal RNA". It matches the Rfam family "Bacterial small subunit ribosomal RNA", at positions 524 to 776 of the family's 1533-position model. The record is from RNAcentral.
UACGAAGGGGGCUAGCGUUGCUCGGAAUCACUGGGCGUAAAGCGCACGUAGGCGGAUUGCUAAGUCAGGGGUGAAAUCCUGGAGCUCAACUCCAGAACUGCCUUUGAUACUGGCGACCUUGAGUCCGGGAGAGGUGAGUGGAACUGCGAGUGUAGAGGUGAAAUUCGUAGAUAUUCGCAAGAACACCAGUGGCGAAGGCGGCUUCCUGGACACUAACUGACGCUGAGACGCGAAAGCGUGGGGAGCAAACAGG